GCCAGCCUAAUUAGAGGGGCACGGUUCCCAAUUAUUGAGCUUACCUCGAUUGGAGAGGCGCGUAGGAUAACUCCCGAGGUAGGAUUUGAGUACACUUCACGCUGGCCACCACGUGAAGUUGGGACUCAGCCAACGCCAAGGAACGGCUGUGUUGUCAGAGGUGAAAUGUGUUUGUGUGUGUGACAAUAAACAGCCUUGGCGGUCUCGGUAAGAUGCUUUCGCGAGGUAUCCCCGAGAAUGGAUUUUUGGCAAGGGCCAAGUUUUUGAAAAGUGCAUAAGCCAUGUUGAGUAAUUAGAUGAAAUCCAAUUAUUUAUAUGGGUUGGGAUGAAUUAUUUUAAUUGUCUCCUAUUACUCGGCUUUAGAUUAUUUUGAUGAUGUUUGUCUACUCACUGGGAUUUUAUAAUCUCACCCCUUCUUCCUAUACAUUUUUCAGGCUCAUAAUAGGCAGUAGACUGUCAAUUGCAUCGAGAAGUAAAUUUCGGAGUUGCAUCCUAGAAAGCAAGGUUAUAGACUUAAACCUUAUCAGUUAUUUGGGGGCUCACGUGUCAUUAUAAUUUAA
Molecule: long non-coding RNA, 560 nt
Filed under: Theobroma cacao (cacao)
Lineage: Eukaryota; Viridiplantae; Streptophyta; Magnoliopsida; Malvales; Malvaceae
Description: long non-coding RNA (TCAC_LNC001624)
Source: RNAcentral